This 261-nucleotide ribosomal RNA is filed under the name uncultured prokaryote. RNAcentral's name for it is "partial 16S ribosomal RNA". It matches the Rfam family "Bacterial small subunit ribosomal RNA", at positions 524 to 784 of the family's 1533-position model. The record is from RNAcentral.
UACGGAGGAUGCGAGCGUUAUCCGGAAUCACUGGGCGUAAAGGGCGCGUAGGCGGUCUGUUAAGUCUGGCGUUAAAGCCUGGGGCUCAACCCCAGAUCAGCGUUGGAUACUGGCAGGCUAGACGGUUGGAGAGGCGAGUGGAAUUACCAGUGUAGCGGUGGAAUGCGUAGAUACUGGUAGGAACACCCAUUGCGAAGGCAGCUCGCUGGACAACACGUGACGCUGAGGCGCGAAAGUGUGGGGAGCAAACCGGAUUAGAUA